UGGGGAAUAUUGCGCAAUGGGGGGAACCCUGACGCAGCCAUGCCGCGUGAAUGAAGAAGGCCUUCGGGUUGUAAAGUUCUUUCGGUAUUGAGGAAGGUUGAUGUGUUAAUAGCACAUUAAAUUGACGUUAAAUACAGAAGAAGCACCGGCUAACUCCGUGCCAGCAGCCGCGGUAAUACGGAGGGUGCGAGCGUUAAUCGGAAUAACUGGGCGUAAAGGGCACGCAGGCGGUUAUUUAAGUGAGGUGUGAAAGCCCUGGGCUUAACCUAGGAAUUGCAUUUCAGACUGGGUAACUAGAGUACUUUAGGGAGGGGUAGAAUUCCACGUGUAGCGGUGAAAUGCGUAGAGAUGUGGAGGAAUACCGAAGGCGAAGGCAGCCCCUUGGGAAUGUACUGACGCUCAUGUGCGAAAGCGUGGGGAGCAAACAGGAUUAGAUACCCUGGUAGUCCACGCUGUAAACGCUGUCGAUUUGGGGGUUGGGGUUUAACUCUGGCGCCCGUAGCUAACGUGAUAAAUCGACCGCCUGGGGAGUACGGCCGCAAGGUUA
RNAcentral lists this ribosomal RNA (547 nucleotides) under uncultured bacterium. Its description in RNAcentral is "bacterial SSU rRNA". It matches the Rfam family "Bacterial small subunit ribosomal RNA", at positions 355 to 896 of the family's 1533-position model. The record is from RNAcentral.